UGCUGAACUCAUGCCUGAACUCCCAGGG
Molecule: non-coding RNA, 28 nt
Filed under: Homo sapiens (human)
Lineage: Eukaryota; Metazoa; Chordata; Mammalia; Primates; Hominidae
Source: RNAcentral